Molecule: long non-coding RNA, 302 nt
Organism: Nematolebias whitei (Rio pearlfish)
Lineage: Eukaryota; Metazoa; Chordata; Actinopteri; Cyprinodontiformes; Rivulidae
Exons: 3
Source: RefSeq, a predicted model, not a curated record
GGUGGCCAAGGCUCUGCUCCUGCGGUACCACCCUCUGUUCUCAGCACUGACUGACAAACUCUUCUCUUUGCUUGAUGAUGCUGAUCUGGGUCCGAUGGCAGCAGACAGCUUCUCUCUGCUGAUGAGCGACACUGAGGACAUCCUGAACCGCAGCUGCCACGCAGACGUACGCAUCAUGUUCCGUCAACGCUUCUUUAGUGAAUACUCACCCAAGCUGGUCCAAAGCUUUAACUCCGCACCACAAGAGAAGAAGCCCAACUACUUGAAGGCUCUGUCUAACAUCAUCACUAAGCUCCCGAAGC